This 253-nucleotide ribosomal RNA is filed under the name uncultured bacterium. RNAcentral describes it as "partial 16S ribosomal RNA". It matches the Rfam family "Bacterial small subunit ribosomal RNA", at positions 524 to 776 of the family's 1533-position model. The record is from RNAcentral.
UACGGGGGGAGCAAACGUUGUUCGGAAUCACUGGGCGUAAAGGGCGCGUAGGCGGCUAGGUAAGUGGGGUGUUAAAUCUCCCGGCUCAACCGGGAACCUGCACCUCAUACUGCUUAGCUUGAGUACAGCAGAGGAGACUGGAAUUCCCGGUGUAGCGGUGAAAUGCGUAGAUAUCUGGAGGAACACCGGUGGCGAAGGCGGCAUCCUGGACCGGCAUUGACGCUGAGGCGCGAAAGCCAGGGGAGCAAACGGG